UAGGGAAUCUUCCACAAUGGGGCGCAAGCCUGAUGGAGCAACACCGCGUGAGUGAAGAAGGGUUUCGGCUCGUAAAGCUCUGUUGUUAAAGAAGAACACGUAUGAGAGUAACUGUUCAUACGUUGACGGUAUUUAACCAGAAAGUCACGGCUAACUACGUGCCAG
RNAcentral lists this ribosomal RNA (165 nucleotides) under uncultured bacterium. RNAcentral's name for it is "partial 16S ribosomal RNA". It matches the Rfam family "Bacterial small subunit ribosomal RNA", at positions 355 to 511 of the family's 1533-position model. The record is from RNAcentral.